AGAGCGAACGCUGGCGGCAGGCCUAACACAUGCAAGUCGAGCGCCCAGCAAUGGGAGCGGCAGACGGGAUAGUAACACGUGGGAACGUACCUUUCAGUUCGGAACAACCCAGGGAAACUUGGGCUAAUACCGAAUACGCCCGUAAGGGGAAAGAUUUAUCGCUGAAAGAUCGGCCCGCGUCUGAUUAGCUAGUUGGUGGGGUAAUGGCCCACCAAGGCGACGAUCAGUAGCUGGUCUGAGAGGACGAUCAGCCACACUGGGACUGAGACACGGCCCAGACUCCUACGGGAGGCAGCAGUGGGGAAUCUUGCGCAAUGCGCGAAAGCGUGACGCAGCAACGCCGCGUGGGGGAAGACGGCCUUCGGGUUGUAAACCCCUUUCAGGAGGGACGAAGGUUCGCCGGUGAAUAGCCGUGCGGAUUGACGGUACCUCCACAAGAAGCUCCGGCUAACUACGCGCCAGCAGCCGC
Molecule: ribosomal RNA, 469 nt
Filed under: uncultured bacterium
Lineage: Bacteria
Description: SSU rRNA
Rfam family: Bacterial small subunit ribosomal RNA
Source: RNAcentral